Molecule: ribosomal RNA, 1137 nt
Filed under: Lysinibacillus composti
Lineage: Bacteria; Bacillati; Bacillota; Bacilli; Caryophanales; Bacillaceae
Description: bacterial SSU rRNA
Rfam family: Bacterial small subunit ribosomal RNA
Source: RNAcentral
GCAAGUCGAGCGAACUUGCGGGAGCUUGCUCCCAAAAGUUAGCGGCGGACGGGUGAGUAACACGUGGGCAACCUGCCCUAUAGUUUGGGAUAACUCCGGGAAACCGGGGCUAAUACCGAAUAAUACAUUUUAUCUCCUGGUGAAAUGUUGAAAGAUGGUUUCGGCUAUCGCUAUAGGAUGGGCCCGCGGCGCAUUAGCUAGUAGGUGAGGUAACGGCUCACCUAGGCGACGAUGCGUAGCCGACCUGAGAGGGUGAUCGGCCACACUGGGACUGAGACACGGCCCAGACUCCUACGGGAGGCAGCAGUAGGGAAUCUUCCACAAUGGGCGAAAGCCUGAUGGAGCAACGCCGCGUGAGUGAAGAAGGUUUUCGGAUCGUAAAACUCUGUUGUAAGGGAAGAACAAGUGCAGUAGUAACUGGCUGCACCUUGACGGUACCUUAUUAGAAAGCCACGGCUAACUACGUGCCAGCAGCCGCGGUAAUACGUAGGUGGCAAGCGUUGUCCGGAAUUAUUGGGCGUAAAGCGCGCGCAGGCGGUUUCUUAAGUCUGAUGUGAAAGCCCCCGGCUUAACCGGGGAGGGUCAUUGGAAACUGGGAGACUUGAGUGCAGAAGAGGAAAGUGGAAUUCCAAGUGUAGCGGUGAAAUGCGUAGAGAUUUGGAGGAACACCAGUGGCGAAGGCGACUUUCUGGUCUGUAACUGACGCUGAGGCGCGAAAGCGUGGGGAGCAAACAGGAUUAGAUACCCUGGUAGUCCACGCCGUAAACGAUGAGUGCUAAGUGUUUAGGGGGUUUCCGCCCCUUAGUGCUGCAGCUAACGCAUUAAGCACUCCGCCUGGGGGAGUACGGUCGCAAGACUGAAACUCAAAGGAAUUGACGGGGGCCCGCACAAGCGGUGGAAGCAUGUGGGUUUAAUUCGAAGCAACGCGAAGAACCUUACCAGGUCUUGACAUCCCACUGACCGCUAUGGAGACAUAGUUUUCCCUUCGGGGACAGUGGUGACAGGUGGUGCAUGGGUUGUCGUCAGCUCCUGUCCUGAAGAUGUUGGGUUUAAGUCCCGCAACCAACCGCAACCCUUGGAUCUUAGUUGGCCAUCAUUUUAAUUUGGGCCACUCUAAGGUGAACUGCCCGGUGAACC